AUUGAACGCUGGCGGCGUGCCUAACACAUGCAAGUCGAGCGGCAGCGCGGGAGCAAUCCUGGCGGCGAGCGGCGGACGGGUGAGUAACGCUUGGGAAUCUGCCUGUUAGUGGGGGACAACCCGGGGAAACUCGGGCUAAUACCGCAUACGCACUACGGUGGGAAGCCGGGGACCGCAAGGCCUGGCGCUAACAGAUGAGCCCAAGUCGGAUUAGCUAGUUGGUAGGGUAACGGCCUACCAAGGCGACGAUCCGUAACUGGUCUGAGAGGACGACCAGUCACACUGGGACUGAGACACGGCCCAGACUCCUACGGGAGGCAGCAGGUGGGGAAUCUUGCGCAAUGGGCGAAAGCCUGACGCAGCGACGCCGCGUGAGGGAU
RNAcentral lists this ribosomal RNA (380 nucleotides) under uncultured bacterium. RNAcentral describes it as "bacterial SSU rRNA". It matches the Rfam family "Bacterial small subunit ribosomal RNA", at positions 28 to 409 of the family's 1533-position model. The record is from RNAcentral.